Non-coding RNA from Pelobates cultripes (western spadefoot toad), 217 nucleotides. The record is from the annotation of a GenBank genome assembly. Lineage: Eukaryota; Metazoa; Chordata; Amphibia; Anura; Pelobatidae.
GUUUGAACAUCUGUAUGGACUCUGAUAAAACCACUUCUUCAGGCAGAGAAUUCCACAUGCUGAUUGUUCUUACAGUAAAAAAAAAAACCUUUCCUUUGCCUUAGACAAAAUCUUCUUUCUUCCAUGGCCUUGUGUCCUAUGUGAAGUCCGGUUUGUGAAUAGAUUUCCACACAAUGGUUUGUAUUGGCCCCAAAUAUAUUUGUAUAAUGUUAUCAUA